RNAcentral lists this ribosomal RNA (235 nucleotides) under uncultured bacterium. RNAcentral describes it as "partial 16S ribosomal RNA". It matches the Rfam family "Bacterial small subunit ribosomal RNA", at positions 99 to 334 of the family's 1533-position model. The record is from RNAcentral.
CGGACGGGUGAGUAACGCGUGGGUAACCUGCCUCAUACAGGGGGAUAACAGUUAGAAAUGGCUGCUAAUACCGCAUAAGACCACAGUACUGCAUGGUACAGUGGUAAAGACUCCGGUGGUAUGAGAUGGACCCGCGUCUGAUUAGGUAGUUGGUGAGGUAACGGCCCACCAAGCCGACGAUCAGUAGCCGACCUGAGAGGGUGACCGGCCACAUUGGGACUGAGACACGGCCCAG